UGGGGAAUGGUGCAAUGGCAGCACGCCUGACUCUGGAUCAGGUAAUUGGGGUUCGAGUCCCUGUUCCCCAGCCA
This 74-nucleotide transfer RNA is filed under the name Synergistaceae bacterium. RNAcentral's name for it is "tRNA-Gln". It matches the Rfam family "tRNA". From Rfam's summary of the family: Transfer RNA (tRNA) molecules are approximately 80 nucleotides in length. Their secondary structure includes four short double-helical elements and three loops (D, anti-codon, and T loops). Lineage: Bacteria; Thermotogati; Synergistota; Synergistia; Synergistales; Synergistaceae. The record is from RNAcentral.